CGCUGCGCUAGUGUUAGCACUGUGCUAGCAUGUUGCUGCUGUGUUGCUAGUGUGUCUCAAUGAUAUUUACCGGUGUCCGGGUACUUCCCGGGACCAGAGCGCGAGUGACUACUGCUGACCUGAUCUGAAAUCCAUCUAUUUUCUGAGCCACUUAUCCUCACGAGGGUCGUGGGAGUGUUGAAGCCUAUCCGACCCGACUCGAUAGAAAAAGGCUCUCAGGGCUCUGGAGCCUAUCCCAGCUGACUCCGGGCGAAAAGUGGACUCCACCCUGAACUGGUCGCCAGUCAGUCGUUGGCCACAUAAAGACACGGACGACCAUUCGCACUCCCAUUCACACCAUCUGUGAGUGGGAACCGAUCCCACGCUGCCUUCACCGAAACCAGAUUCCGUUGGAGCGACCCCCUUUUAAGAAAGACUUCCGUGGAGUCUUCACCUCAAGUCUGAAGAUUGACGUUCAAUUUCAACUGGGAGUGGCAAACGGCUCGAAGCAAGCAGACUUCAUGUCACACGGAUGAUCUUCUAAAGUUUUCAACAGACCUGGACAGGGAGAGGAUGGCUCUGACUUUUGAACUCCAAGACACUGACCUGUGACCCCUUUGAAUUUGACUGACAGCUCAAACACAGCAAGAGGAUGGAGAGAUGCCUGUCAUGAAGGAAAGCGGAGGGUGGCGAGUGUGUUCCGGUGCCAGCUGGCACGGGAAGCCCGAGAUGAGCGAAGGGCCAGCUGGAACGCCGCCGAGCGCUUUAACCGACUCCGCGCGGGGGCCGUCCCGUUACAAGUGACACAAAACAAGACUAAUUGUGCAUUAAUCAGCGCCUUCGCCGCGCACGUUCUUGCGUUCCAGCCACUUGGGCGGAGCUCCCCUGGCAGUCUGCGUUUCGGCUUCCGUUUUUUUUGUGUGCGUUGCCGCUUUCACUUAUCGGAAUGCAGAUAAAUAUUCACGUGUUAGUCUGUGAAGGAAAAAUAUUGGUAUUGCAGAGGUGGUUUGAGAUACAAAUUUAAUUGUUUCUGUGAUCACGGUUGUACCUCAAAACAUUCACAUCUCAAAUCAUCUUUUCCCAUUGAAAUGAAUGAAAACGCCAUGAAUCCGUUACAGCCUCUCAAAAGACAUUUUUGCAAUGUGUUCAUAAAUGGGCGGCACAGUGGAUCCGCUGGUAAAGUGUCGGCCUCACAGUUCUGAGGACCUGGGUUUGAUCCCAGCCCUCCCUUUGUGGAGUUUGCAUGUUCUCCCUGUGCCUGCGUGGCUUUUCUUCGGGCACUCCGGUUUUCUCCCACAUCCCAAAAGCAUUAAUUGCCCAAAUUGCCCCUAGGUGUGAUUGUGAGUGCAGCUUUUUGUCUCCACGUGCCCUGCGAUUGGCUGGCACCCAGUUCAGGGUGUACCCCACCUCCUCCCCGUUGACGGCUGGGAUAGGCUCCAGCACUCCCUGCAACCCUCGUGGGGAUAAGCAGCAAAGAAAAUGGAUGGAUGGACGGAUGUUUAUAAAUGACAAAAAACACUGUAAUGUUGUACUUGAUGAAAACAUUCAGCGGAAUUACAGUAGAGUUACAAUUACAGUAUCUUUUUGUCACACCCUUUGUUUCAAUUGAUAUUGUGCUGCUCCUUUUGGUGUGUGAACCAUGACCACUUGGGAGCAGCAGCAUCCAAACAUACGGAUAUACAUUGAGACAUUGCUACCGCUGAUUCAUAUAAGCUAUGUAUGCAAAUGCAAAUAGUUUCUGCUGCUCGCAUUAAAUAUUUUUUUACAAAAAUCAA
Syngnathoides biaculeatus (alligator pipefish) is the source of this 1754-nucleotide long non-coding RNA. RefSeq lists it as uncharacterized. Lineage: Eukaryota; Metazoa; Chordata; Actinopteri; Syngnathiformes; Syngnathidae. The record is from RefSeq and is a predicted model, not a curated record. The transcript is spliced from 7 exons.